AUUGAACGCUGGCGGCAGGCCUAACACAUGCAAGUCGAGCGAGCGGCGGACGGGUGAGUAAUGUCUGGGAAACUGCCUGAUGGAGGGGGAUAACUACGGGAAACGGUAGCUAAUACCGCAUAACAUCAGAUUUGGCCAGGUGGGAUUAGCUAGUAGGUGGGGGAACGGCCCACCUAGGCGACGAACCCUAGCUGGUCUGAGAGGUUGACCAGCCACACUGGAACUGAGACACGGUCCAGACUCCUACGGGAGGCAGCAGUGGGGAAUAUUGGACAAUGGGCGAAAGCCUGAUGCAGCCAUGCCGCGUGAGUGAAGAAGGCCUUCGGGUUGUAAAGCACUUUCAGCGGGGAAGCGUUACCCGCAGAAGAAGCACCGGCUAACUCCGUGCCAGCAGCCGCGGUAAUUC
This 406-nucleotide ribosomal RNA is filed under the name uncultured bacterium. RNAcentral's name for it is "partial 16S ribosomal RNA". It matches the Rfam family "Bacterial small subunit ribosomal RNA", at positions 29 to 526 of the family's 1533-position model. The record is from RNAcentral.